This 199-nucleotide ribosomal RNA is filed under the name uncultured bacterium. RNAcentral's name for it is "partial 16S ribosomal RNA". It matches the Rfam family "Bacterial small subunit ribosomal RNA", at positions 328 to 539 of the family's 1533-position model. The record is from RNAcentral.
ACGCUCGACACCUACGGGAGUCAGCAGUGGGGAAUAUUGCACAAUGGGGGAAACCCUGAUGCAGCGACGCCGCGUGGAGGAAGAAGGUCUUCGGAUUGUAAACUCCUGUUGUUGGGGAAAAAGAGGAUGGUACCCAACAAGGAAGUGACGGCUAACUACGUGCCAACAGCCGCCGGUAAUCUGAGCGGGCUGGCAAGGC